GAAGUUUCCUUCCUUGAUCAAUAUUUCCUAGAUUAGCUUCAAAAACUCCCCAUACAUGCCACGCGAACCUAUUUUUCGGACUGGCUUGAACUGCUUUCUCAAACAGCUGCCUAGCGGAACGGUUAUUCUCUAACUGAGCCUCUAGUUGAGCCCAUGCCAGCCAACUAGCACAACUUUUUCGGUUACACCUUGUUGCCUGCUUGAACAAAUAUCG
Molecule: unclassified non-coding RNA, 214 nt
Filed under: Hevea brasiliensis (rubber tree)
Lineage: Eukaryota; Viridiplantae; Streptophyta; Magnoliopsida; Malpighiales; Euphorbiaceae
Source: RNAcentral